Molecule: unclassified non-coding RNA, 356 nt
Filed under: fungal sp.
Lineage: Eukaryota; Fungi
Description: partial internal transcribed spacer region
Rfam family: Eukaryotic small subunit ribosomal RNA (bases 1-46)
Source: RNAcentral
AAGUCGUAAAAAGGUUUCCGUAGGUGAACCUGCGGAAGGAUCAUUAGCACGUAUCCAACGUUAAACAACCCUGUGAACCUUGAACGUGCUCCUGCAGCCCCAUGAAAUCAGCAAUCCCUGGGAAAUCAUUGUUGACCAGCUUUUGAGUCAGGGACCUCUGCCGAAACGGCUGUUCAGUACCGAGCGUGGUGUAAGCGACCUGGCAUCAAGCGAUCAGUGUCUGAAAGUAUCAUUGAUUGUGUAAGGAUGGAGUAAACGAUUGCUAGAGGCCCACUCGGCCUUUAUCCCCACAGUUUCCGACUUAACACGGACGCCGUAAAAAACUGAACAACUGUUACAAUGGAUAUCUUGUUCUC